AUGAGUUUCUCAUGUUUUAGAGGAUUCUUAAUUUUAGUUUGUGUAGGGAUGUUAGCUUCUCAUUCAUACAUUGCAUGUGGAUUGAGAACCAAAAAUCUUGUGCAAGUUUCUCAUGUCUUAAAGGGUGUUGCAGUGGAGGGUUUGGAAUCAAAGAUGGAUUUGGCACCUUCACCUUCAAUGACAUUUGAUGCUAAUCAAUCAAACAAAAGGACAUUCAAAAAAGGGUCAGAUCCAAUUCACAAUAGGAGUUGA
Non-coding RNA from Vicia faba (fava bean), 252 nucleotides. NCBI's taxonomy places the organism in Eukaryota, Viridiplantae, Streptophyta, Magnoliopsida, Fabales, Fabaceae. The record is from the annotation of a GenBank genome assembly.